AGAAGAGCGGCGGACGGGUGAGUAACGCGUGGGUAACCUGCCCUGUACACACGGAUAACAUACCGUCAGGUAUGCUAAUACGGGAUAACAUAUAAGAGUCGCAUGACUUUUAUAUCAAAGAUUUUUUGGUACAGGAUGGACCCGCGUCUGAUUAGCUUGUUGGCGGGGUAACGGCCCACCAAGGCGACGAUCAGUAGCCGACCUGAGAGGGUGAUCGGCCACAUUGGAACUGAGACACGGUCCAAACUCCUACGGGAGGCAGCAGUGGGGAAUAUUGCACAAUGGGCGCAAGCCUGAUGCAGCAACGCCGCGUGAGCGAUGAAGGCCUUCGGGUCGUAAAGCUCUGUCCUCAAGGAAGAUAAUGACGGUACUUGAGGAGGAAGCCCCGGCUAACUACGUGCCAGCAGCCGCGGUAAUACGUAGGGGGCUAGCGUUAUCCGGAUUUACUGGGCGUAAAGGGUGCGUAGGCGGUCUCUCAAGUCAGGAGUUAAAGGCUACGGCUCAACCGUAGUAAGCUCCUGAUACUGUCUGACUUGAGUGCAGGAGAGGAAAGCGGAAUUCCCAGUGUAGCGGUGAAAUGCGUUAGAUAUUGGGAGGAACACCAGUAGCGAAGGCGGCUUUCUGGACUGUAACUGACGCUGAGGCACGAAAGCGUGGGGAGCAAACCAGGAUUAUUUUCCCGGGUUGUCCCCUCUGUAAUCGAUGUGUGUUGGGGUCGGAGGUUUCCCCCUUUGGUGCCGCCGGUUAACGCAUUUAAGUAUUUCCACCUGGGGAGUCCGCACGCAAGUGUGAAACUCAAAGGAAUUUAUCGGGGACCCGCACAAGUAGCGGGGCGUGUGGUUUUAUUCCCAAGCAACGCGAAGAACCUUACCUAGGCUUGACAUCCUUCUGACCGAGGACUAAUCUCCUCUUUCCCUCCGGGGACAGAAGUGACAGGUGGUGCAUGGUUGUCGUCAGCUCGUGUCGUGGGAUGUUGGGUUAAGUCCCGCAACGAGCGCAACCCUUGUCUUUAGUUGCCAUCAUUUAGUUGGGCACUCUAGAGAGACUGCCAGGGAUAACCUGGAGGAAGGUGGGGAUGACGUCAAAUCAUCAUGCCCCUUAUGCCUAGGGCUACACACGUGCUACAAUGGGUGGUACAGAGGGCAGCCAAGCCGUGAGGUG
RNAcentral lists this ribosomal RNA (1161 nucleotides) under uncultured bacterium. RNAcentral's name for it is "bacterial SSU rRNA". It matches the Rfam family "Bacterial small subunit ribosomal RNA", at positions 89 to 1264 of the family's 1533-position model. The record is from RNAcentral.